Molecule: ribosomal RNA, 1443 nt
Filed under: uncultured prokaryote
Description: partial 16S ribosomal RNA
Rfam family: Bacterial small subunit ribosomal RNA
Source: RNAcentral
AUGAACGCUAGCGGCAGGCUUAACACAUGCAAGUCGAGGGGUAACAGGGGAGCUUGCUUCUGCUGACGACCGGCGCACGGGUGAGUAACGCGUAUGCAACCUACCUCAAACAGGGGGAUAGCUCAGGGAAACCUGGAUUAAUACCCCAUAAUAUUUAGAUUUGGCCUUUAUAUAAGAUUAAAGCUCCGGCGGUUAAAGAUGGGCAUGCGUAACAUUAGUUUGUUGGUGAGGUAACGGCUCACCAAGACUACGAUGUUUAGGGGGUCUGAGAGGAUGGUCCCCCACACUGGUACUGAGACACGGACCAGACUCCUACGGGAGGCAGCAGUGAGGAAUAUUGGUCAAUGGGCGCAAGCCUGAACCAGCCAUGCCGCGUGCAGGAUGACGGCCUUAUGGGUUGUAAACUGCUUUUAUAUAGGAAGAAACCCUUGAACGUGUUCAAGGCUGACGGUACUAUAAGAAUAAGGAUCGGCUAACUCCGUGCCAGCAGCCGCGGUAAUACGGAGGAUCCAAGCGUUAUCCGGAUUUAUUGGGUUUAAAGGGUGCGUAGGCGGAAUAGUAAGUCAGGGGUGAAAUCCCACAGCUCAACUGUGGAACUGCCUUUGAUACUGCUAAUCUUGAGUACAAUUGAAGUAGGCGGAAUAUGUCAUGUAGCGGUGAAAUGCAUAGAGAUGACAUAGAACACCGAUCGCGAAGGCAGCUUACUAAGCUAUUACUGACACUGAGGGACGAAAGCGUGGGGAGCGAACAGGAUUAGAUACCCUGGUAGUCCACGCCGUAAACGAUGAUUACUCGUUGCUAGCGAUACACUGUUAGUGACUAAUCGAAAGUGUUAAGUAAUCCACCUGGGGAGUACGAUCGCAAGGUUGAAACUCAAAGGAAUUGACGGGGGCCCGCACAAGCGGUGGAGCAUGUGGUUUAAUUCGAUGAUACGCGAGGAACCUUACCAGGGCUUAAAUGUAGGAUGACAGGGGUAGAGAUACCUCUUUCUUCGGACACUUUACAAGGUGCUGCAUGGUUGUCGUCAGCUCGUGCCGUGAGGUGUCGGGUUAAGUCCCAUAACGAGCGCAACCCCUAUUCUUAGUUGCCAGCGGUUCGGCCGGGGACUCUUAAGAAACUGCCUACGUAAGUAGAGAGGAAGGUGGGGAUGACGUCAAAUCAUCACGGCCCUUACGUCCAGGGCUACACACGUGCUACAAUGGUGUUGACAAAGGGCAGCCACUUGGUGACAAGGAGCUAAUCCUAAAACAACAUCUCAGUUCGGAUCGCAGUCUGCAACUCGACUGCGUGAAGCUGGAAUCGCUAGUAAUCGCGCAUCAGCCAUGGCGCGGUGAAUACGUUCCCGGGCCUUGUACACACCGCCCGUCAAGCCAUGGAAGCUGGGAGUGCCUGAAGUCGGUGACCGCAAGGAGCUGCCUAGGGUAAAACUGGUAACUGGGGCUA